This is a long non-coding RNA of Suricata suricatta (meerkat), 170 nucleotides long. RefSeq lists it as uncharacterized. NCBI's taxonomy places the organism in Eukaryota, Metazoa, Chordata, Mammalia, Carnivora, Herpestidae. The transcript is spliced from 3 exons. The record is from RefSeq and is a predicted model, not a curated record.
GUACAGUUCUCAGAUAUUAGCCUUCCUGAAGCCCAUACGAUGCUGCUGCUAUAGAUCCAGGAGCCCGGAAGUCCUCCUACACUGGGGAAGCAUCCUGUGCUGUGAGGGCAGGGCAGAGGAAGAGAGAGCCUCUAUUCUCUUGAUUUCCAGAGAGAGCCACACAUUAUUUU